UUCUUCUUUUCUCUCUCUAAAAUUCUCAUCCAAAAACGACCACACAAUACAGUAGAGAGAGAAAAUCAAAUCGAAGAUUUUACAGAAGGAUAUCGAGUUUCUUCGGAGACGAAGGGUAGCUUAAUCCUCCAUUCGAUCUCAAAAGGGGAGGUGUGAUUUUUUUAUUUUUUAUUUUAAAAUAAUUUUUGGAUAUGAGAAGAGGCAGAGCAACUCCGGCGGCGGCGGCGGCGGCGGUGAAGCCAGAUGGAUCUGGAGGAUUGAAGGAGAUUAGGUUUCGUGGAGUUCGGAAGAGGCCAUGGGGGAGAUUUGCUGCAGAGAUUAGAGAUCCAUGGAAGAAAACUAGGGUUUGGUUAGGUACUUUUGAUUCAGCUGAAGAUGCUGCCAAAGCUUAUGAUGCUGCAGCUCGAACUCUUCGUGGACCUAAAGCUAAAACUAAUUUCCCUUUACCUAUGUAUUCUCAGCAUCAUCAGUUCAAUCGAAGUUUAAACCCUAAUGAUCGGUUAGUUGACCCGAGAUUGUACUCACAAGAAGCUCCGAUCAUUUGUCAAAGACCUACAUCGAGCAGUAUGAGUAGUACUGUGGAAUCAUUCAGUGGACCGAGACCGCCACGUCAGCAAACGGCGGUUUUGCCUUCGAGAAAACAUCCUAGAUCGCCGCCGGUUGAGCCGGAUGACUGCAGGAGUGAUUGUGACUCAUCGUCUUCUGUUGUUGAAGAUGGUGAUUGUGAAGGGGGAAAUGACAACAUCGUUUCUUCAUCUCUCAGAAAUCCACUGCCUUUCGAUCUCAACUUUCCACCUCCGAUGGAUGAUGUUUAUGCUAAUUCAAAUGAUCUUUACUGCACAGCACUAUGUCUUUGAAGGAAAAUGGUUUCAAAGUUUCAAUCUUUCAAUUAUAUUGAAACACACAAAAAAAAUCACAGAUUUAAAGCAAUUGCUAUGAAUCUGUUGCUGGAAGAGAUUUUAACUCUUCCAUUUACUUAUCCUAUUUAAUGUCAUGGUAUUUCAUGAUAGAUGGAUUAGUGUCUGACAAUUGAUCUGAUUAUGUGUCCUUCAACUAUAUAUGAGUUUUGGGAUAAUGUAGUCUUUUAUUGUCAGAUUUAUAUACAUUAACAUGUAAAAUUAGAGGGAACUUUCAGUUCUGUGUUGUACUAUUACAAUGAUAGCUCUAGUGUCGUUGAUGUAAGACAAUAUCUACUCUUUCAAUCACUUAAUGUAAGAAUCAAGACUUCAUCUAAUCAAAUAUUAGCUUACAUGUGUUCG
This 1259-nucleotide unclassified non-coding RNA is filed under the name Hevea brasiliensis (rubber tree). The record is from RNAcentral. Lineage: Eukaryota; Viridiplantae; Streptophyta; Magnoliopsida; Malpighiales; Euphorbiaceae.